AUUGGACGCUGGCGGCAUGCCUUACACAUGCAAGUCGAACGGUAACGGGCCUUCGGGUGCCGACGAGUGGCGAACGGGUGAGUAAUACAUCGGAACGUGCCCGAUCGUGGGGGAUAACGAGGCGAAAGCUUUGCUAAUACCGCAUACGAUCUACGGAUGAAAGCAGGGGACCGCAAGGCCUUGCGCGGACGGAGCGGCCGAUGGCAGAUUAGGUAGUUGGUGGGAUAAAAGCUUACCAAGCCGACGAUCUGUAGCUGGUCGGAGAGGAUGAUCAGCCACACUGGGCCUGAGACACGGCCCAGACUCCUACGGGAGGCAGCAGUGGGGAAUUUUGGACAAUGGGCGCAAGCCUGAUCCAGCCAUGCCGCGUGCAGGAUGAGGGCCUUCGGGUUGUAAACUGCUUUUGUACGGAACGAAAAGCCUUCUUUUAAUACAGGAGGGUCAUGACGGUACCGUAAGAAUAAGCACCGGCUAACUACGU
Molecule: ribosomal RNA, 481 nt
Filed under: uncultured bacterium
Lineage: Bacteria
Description: partial 16S ribosomal RNA
Rfam family: Bacterial small subunit ribosomal RNA
Source: RNAcentral